GAUGAACGCUGGCGGCGUGCCUAAUACAUGCAAGUCGAGCGAAUGGAUUAAGAGCUUGCUCUUAUGAAGUUAGCGGCGGACGGGUGAGUAACACGUGAGUAACCUGCCCAUAAGACUGGGAUAACUCCGGGAAACCGGGGCUAAUACCGGAUAACAUUUUGAACCGCAUGGUUCGAAAUUGAAAGGCGGCUUCGGCUGUCACUUAUGGAUGGACCCGCGUCGCAUUAGCUAGUUGGUGAGGUAACGGCUCACCAAGGCAACGAUGCGUAGCCGACCUGAGAGGGCGAUCGGCCACACUGGGACUGAGACACGGCCCAGACUCCUACGGGAGGCAGCAGUAGGGAAUCUUCCGCAAUGGACGAAAGUCUGACGGAGCAACGCCGCGUGAGUGAUGAAGGCUUUCGGGUCGUAAAACUCUGUUGUUAGGGAAGAACAAGUGCUAGUUGAAUAAGCUGGCAUCUUGACGGUACCUAACCAGAAAGCCACGGCUAACUACGUGCCAGCAGCCGCAGUAA
RNAcentral lists this ribosomal RNA (515 nucleotides) under uncultured bacterium. RNAcentral describes it as "partial 16S ribosomal RNA". It matches the Rfam family "Bacterial small subunit ribosomal RNA", at positions 28 to 523 of the family's 1533-position model. The record is from RNAcentral.